UGCGAUAACAUUUUAGAUGGGGGACUGGACCCCACGACACAGGGAAUGCUAGUGUGGGGACUAGAGACAUACUGUUCUUUUUGUGACUAAAUAUAACUGAUAAAA
Long non-coding RNA from Melitaea cinxia (Glanville fritillary), 105 nucleotides. RefSeq lists it as uncharacterized. The record is from RefSeq and is a predicted model, not a curated record. Lineage: Eukaryota; Metazoa; Arthropoda; Insecta; Lepidoptera; Nymphalidae. The transcript has 3 exons.